AUUGAACGCUAGCGGGAUGCUUUACACAUGCAAGUCGGACGGCAGCGCGAGGUAAGCUUGCUUACCUUGGCGGCGAGUGGCGAACGGGUGAGUAAUGUAUCGGAACGUGCCCAGUAGCGGGGGAUAACCACUCGAAAGAGUGGCUAAUACCGCAUACGCCCUACGGGGGAAAGCGGGGGACCUUCGGGCCUCGCACUAUUGGAGCGGCCGAUAUCGGAUUAGCUAGUUGGUGGGGUAAAGGCCUACCAAGGCGACGAUCCGUAGCUGGUUUGAGAGGACGACCAGCCACACUGGGACUGAGACACGGCCCAGACUCCUACGGGAGGCAGCAGUGGGGAAUUUUGGACAAUGGGGGCAACCCUGAUCCAGCCAUCCCGCGUGUGCGAUGAAGGCCUUCGGGUUGUAAAGCACUUUUGGCAGGGAAGAAAAGGCUCUGGCUAAUACCUGGAGCUGCU
This 455-nucleotide ribosomal RNA is filed under the name uncultured bacterium. RNAcentral's name for it is "bacterial SSU rRNA". It matches the Rfam family "Bacterial small subunit ribosomal RNA", at positions 30 to 483 of the family's 1533-position model. The record is from RNAcentral.